RNAcentral lists this ribosomal RNA (446 nucleotides) under uncultured bacterium. RNAcentral's name for it is "partial 16S ribosomal RNA". It matches the Rfam family "Bacterial small subunit ribosomal RNA", at positions 338 to 795 of the family's 1533-position model. The record is from RNAcentral.
CCUACGGGGAGCAGCAGUCGAGAAUCAUUCACAAUGGGGGAAACCCUGAUGGUGCGACGCCGCGUGGGGGAAUGAAGGUCUUCGGAUUGUAAACCCCUGUCAUGUGGGAGCAAAUUAAAAAGAUAGUACCACAAGAGGAAGAGACGGCUAACUCUGUUCCAGCAGCCGCGGUAAUACAGAGGUCUCAAGCGUUGUUCGGAAUCACUGGGCGUAAAGCGUGCGUAGGCUGUUUCGUAAGUCGUGUGUGAAAGGCGCGGGCUCAACCCGCGGACGGCACAUGAUACUGCGAGACUAGAGUAAGGGAGGGGGAACCGGAAUUCUCGGUGUAGCAGUGAAAUGCGUAGAUAUCGAGAGGAACACUCGUGGCGAAGGCGGGUUCCUGGACAUUAACUGACGCUGAGGCACGAAGGCCAGGGGAGCGAAAGGGAUUAGAUACCCUUGUAGUC